RNAcentral lists this ribosomal RNA (1459 nucleotides) under uncultured organism. RNAcentral's name for it is "SSU rRNA". It matches the Rfam family "Bacterial small subunit ribosomal RNA". The record is from RNAcentral.
GAACGCUAGCUACAGGCUUAACACAUGCAAGUCGAGCGGUAGCACAGAGAGCUUGCUCUCGGGUGACGAGCGGCGGACGGGUGAGUAAUGUCUGGGAAACUGCCUGAUGGAGGGGGAUAACUACUGGAAACGGUAGCUAAUACCGCAUAAUGUCGCAAGACCAAAGUGGGGGACCUUCGGGCCUCAUGCCAUCAGAUGUGCCCAGAUGGGAUUAGCUAGUAGGUGGGGUAACGGCUCACCUAGGCGACGAUCCCUAGCUGGUCUGAGAGGAUGACCAGCCACACUGGAACUGAGACACGGUCCAGACUCCUACGGGAGGCAGCAGUGGGGAAUAUUGCACAAUGGGCGCAAGCCUGAUGCAGCCAUGCCGCGUGUGUGAAGAAGGCCUUCGGGUUGUAAAGCACUUUCAGCGGGGAGGAAGGCGGUGAGGUUAAUAACCUCAUCGAUUGACGUUACCCGCAGAAGAAGCACCGGCUAACUCCGUGCCAGCAGCCGCGGUAAUACGGAGGGUGCAAGCGUUAAUCGGAAUUACUGGGCGUAAAGCGCACGCAGGCGGUCUGUCAAGUCGGAUGUGAAAUCCCCGGGCUCAACCUGGGAACUGCAUUCGAAACUGGCAGGCUAGAGUCUUGUAGAGGGGGGUAGAAUUCCAGGUGUAGCGGUGAAAUGCGUAGAGAUCUGGAGGAAUACCGGUGGCGAAGGCGGCCCCCUGGACAAAGACUGACGCUCAGGUGCGAAAGCGUGGGGAGCAAACAGGAUUAGAUACCCUGGUAGUCCACGCCGUAAACGAUGUCGAUUUGGAGGUUGUGCCCUUGAGGCGUGGCUUCCGGAGCUAACGCGUUAAAUCGACCGCCUGGGGAGCACGGCCGCAAGGUUAAAACUCAAAUGAAUUGACGGGGGCCCGCACAAGCGGUGGAGCAUGUGGUUUAAUUCGAUGCAACGCGAAGAACCUUACCUGGUCUUGACAUCCACAGAACUUAGCAGAGAUGCUUUGGUGCCUUCGGGAACUGUGAGACAGGUGCUGCAUGGCUGUCGUCAGCUCGUGUUGUGAAAUGUUGGGUUAAGUCCCGCAACGAGCGCAACCCUUAUCCUUUGUUGCCAGCGGUCCGGCCGGGAACUCAAAGGAGACUGCCAGUGAUAAACUGGAGGAAGGUGGGGAUGACGUCAAGUCAUCAUGGCCCUUACGACCAGGGCUACACACGUGCUACAAUGGCAUAUACAAAGAGAAGCGACCUCGCGAGAGCAAGCGGACCUCAUAAAGUAUGUCGUAGUCCGGAUUGGAGUCUGCAACUCGACUCCAUGAAGUCGGAAUCGCUAGUAAUCGUAGAUCAGAAUGCUACGGUGAAUACGUUCCCGGGCCUUGUACACACCGCCCGUCACACCAUGGGAGUGGGUUGCAAAAGAAGUAGGUAGCUUAACCUUCGGGAGGGCGCUUACCACUUUGUGAUUCAUGACUGGGGUG